CUGGCGGCAGGCCUAACACAUGCAAGUCGAACGGUAACAGGAAGCAGCUUGCUGCUUCGCUGACGAGUGGCGGACGGGUGAGUAAUGUCUGGGAAACUGCCUGAUGGAGGGGGAUAACUACUGGAAACGGUAGCUAAUACCGCAUAACGUCGCAAGACCAAAGAGGGGGACCUUCGGGCCUCUUGCCAUCGGAUGUGCCCAGAUGGGAUUAGCUAGUAGGUGGGGUAACGGCUCACCUAGGCGACGAUCCCUAGCUGGUCUGAGAGGAUGACCAGCCACACUGGAACUGAGACACGGUCCAGACUCCUACGGGAGGCAGCAGUGGGGAAUAUUGCACAAUGGGCGCAAGCCUGAUGCAGCCAUGCCGCGUGUAUGAAGAAGGCCUUCGGGUUGUAAAGUACUUUCAGCGGGGAGGAAGGCGAUAAGGUUAAUAACCUUGUCGAUUGACGUUACCCGCAGAAGAGCACGGUUAACUCCGUGCCAGCCAGCCGCGGUAAUACGGAGGGUGCAGCGUUAUCGGAAUUACUGGGCGUAAAGCGCACGCAGCGGUCUGUCAGUCCGAUGUGAAAUCCCCGGGCUCACCUGGGAACUGCAUUCAAACUGGCAGGCUAGAUCUUGUAGAGGGGUAGAAUUCCAGUGUAGCGUGAA
RNAcentral lists this ribosomal RNA (648 nucleotides) under Enterobacter sp. HPC153. Its description in RNAcentral is "bacterial SSU rRNA". It matches the Rfam family "Bacterial small subunit ribosomal RNA", at positions 36 to 685 of the family's 1533-position model. The record is from RNAcentral. Lineage: Bacteria; Pseudomonadati; Pseudomonadota; Gammaproteobacteria; Enterobacterales; Enterobacteriaceae.